Molecule: small RNA, 22 nt
Filed under: Arabidopsis thaliana (thale cress)
Lineage: Eukaryota; Viridiplantae; Streptophyta; Magnoliopsida; Brassicales; Brassicaceae
Description: Ath_wt_08802
Source: RNAcentral
GGGAUCCCUCGCGGGUGCACCG